Paramisgurnus dabryanus is the source of this 2957-nucleotide long non-coding RNA. RefSeq lists it as uncharacterized. Lineage: Eukaryota; Metazoa; Chordata; Actinopteri; Cypriniformes; Cobitidae. The record is from RefSeq and is a predicted model, not a curated record.
AUGGAUUUACUAUCAGUCCAGUUUGUACUUCAUUUCAUCUGAGAAGAAGAGCUGGACUGAGAGCAGAAGAUACUGUAGAGAGAGAGAAGCAGAUCUGAUCAUCAUUAACAACAAAGAGGAACAAUAUUUUAUUCAGAAGAAUUAUGUUACUUAUGACUUACUCUGGAUUGGGCUGACUGACAGUGAUGUAGAGGGCAGAUGGAAAUGGGUUGAUGGCAGCACCCUAAACACUAGCUUCUGGGGGUCUGGAGAACCCAAUGGAGGUAAAGGAGAGAACUGUGCUUUGUCUUCUUCAUCAUGGUCGGCUGAUUACCCCUGUACUGAUGCUUUUAAAUGGAUUUGUGAGAAAGCACAGUAGCAAGUUUCUUUAGACAUUUGUUUUAAUGUAGUUCUAAAUGUAGGUUCUAAACAUUCAGGCCUGACAAUCAUCAUUAUGAACAUAUAUAAGGCAGCCUUCAGGCCUCUGCAUCCAGUUGCAAUUCUUCCGGCAUCCUAGUGAAGUGAACCAGUAAUUUGUGAAGAACACACGUCAUGGAUUCUCCAGGCUCCACCUUUGCUCCAACACCACAUUCACCAUCACUUAAUGGCGCUUUUCCAUUGCAUAGUACCCCAAGGUUUGGUUUAGUUUGGGUCGGGUCAGCUUACUUUUGGGAGCUUUUCCAUUGGGUGCAGUACGUAGUACCCGAUACUUUUUUUCGUACCACCUCGGUUGGGGUUCCAAGCGACCCGAGCUGAUACCAAACGUGACGCGAAAACACCGUAGAUCACUGAUUGGUCUGAGAGAAGCGUCAUCGCUAUAAUGUAAAUAUUAGCUUUAGCUUACUGCUAGCUUGCGCUGUCUCAAGCAAACAUGUUGUUAUCUGUGUUCUGCUAUAAGUUUCCAAACACCCUUUUAGUGAUGAAAAACAUCCACAGGUUGAGAAUCCGGGACACCAUAACAGUUUUUUCCAGACUUGCAGUUUGUGGCGGCACAUUCGCACGUGCACGUCCGCAUUAUAUAUGCUUAAAUGCAACUUGAAUGAGGCUCAGCGGAGCGCCGUCGACUGAUGCCACGGGUCGGGUGUUUGAACAGAAACUGUCAUGUGAGACAGAGGUAGUUAUAAACGCGAUGUGCAAACAUCAAUUUGUGGUGGCCAAUUUUAAUUUUGUGGCAGUAUGGGAAUGUACAACAACGCUCUCACGUGUAUGAUGUCACAACAGUAGGCAGCGUAAAUAUAACGACAUGCCUAUAAUCCCUCCCACUCCGAAGUGAUACUAAACUCGAUAGAAAAGCUAACCACGCCAAAGUGAGGUGAGCUGACCCGACCGAAACUAAACUAAACCGUGGGGUACUAUGCAAUGGAAAAGCACCAUUAGUUUGAAUGACUGGCACCUUCCCCUCAUCAGCUCAUCUCAUCUCUACCGUAUAUAAGGACACACCUCAGAUGCACUCUUACAGUAUCUUGCUUUGGUUCAUGGACUCUGUGCCUGUUGGAUUACACUUGUCUCCCUGAAAGUCCUACCUAGUACUCGUCUAUCAUGUCCGUGCUCCAUCUUGGUUACUCAUUUGAAUGGUUACCACCAUACUUGCCAAGUGAUCUCCUGUCAGCUGCAACUGGGGUGUGUAGUCCUGUCCAUUGCCAUUACCCUUGCUGUCACUGCCUGCAAAGAUAAGAGACUGUAUAUUAUAUAUUAUUGUCAGUAUUAUCUGCUCUACUGUGCGUGUGUGUGCAUGCGUGUGUGUUCAAAUGUUUACUUUUAACUCUUUCGCCGCCACUGACGAGAUAUCUCGUCAAUCAAGAGAAAACGCUUCCCUGCCAAUGACGAGUAUUUCCGGCUUUCAGCAAUACCGCAAUACCCUUCCGCAACUUUUUAAACCUGGAAGUAUUGCCCUAUGGCAAGCGGAUGCAUGUCCGUGUCUGUUUUAAAGAUCGCUCUGAAUGGGAUCUCUAUGAAAAGUCCAUCACAAAAAUGGAAUUAUCUCUGCUUUUUGCUCAAAAUGUGGUGUUUUUGCAGAAACCUACCCAUAUUCAAAAGCUGAUUACAAAAGAACUACUGAAGGUACACUGUUAGAUGUCGCUGUAGAUUUAGCAGUACAUUACUGUAAAAAUCCACAGUACUAUACUGUAUGUGUACAUUACAGUACAGUACUGCAGUUCAUAAUGCAUUCUGGGUAAAUUUGUUUGAGCGGGAAAAUUUUACAGUAUAUUUUGGUCUUGAUGUAACCUUGCUGUAGCCAUUGCUGUAAUGUGCCAGGUGUACUUGCAAUAAUCAGAGAAAGUGCGCCAACGUCAAAUCACACAGAGGGAGGGAGAGCACAACUCCUGGCUGCAGCUGAAGGAGGACGAUUGAUUUCUGGCAGUUCGUCUUACCAUUGCUUGUAAGCUGGAUUGGGUAAGAUGGAUCAUCUUUAAAGGCACCAGGAGUUAAGGCAGAUGUGGAGGCACAACGGGUGAUACCAGACACACACCAAGCACAUUAUGUUCGGACAUUCAAUCAUGACAGGAUCCAGGUGGAUGCUGUCCAUUGAGGAAAGAGUUUGUUCAGCGGUUUCUGGAUAGAAUUAAUUCCAAAGAUGGGAAAAAGUGCACAUCCAGACAAGGAGCAAGCAAAAAGACAAGGAACUUGGUGCAGAGAAAAGCUGUGGCCAUUAACCCCUGUGAACAGCUUCAUGCAGUCGCUGAUUGAGUUCGAAUGGACGACUUCAAAGUAAAGGCCACUGUGGUCUGUCUGCCACAGUUUAAUUUUUAAUUUAUUUUUAGUGUUCAAUGAAAUUCAAGUAGAAUAUUUAAAACUAUGGGCCAGUGUUGUUUUUACCACGGUGAAAUGUUACCUUUUAGUCGAUGAUGGACUUUAAACUGAAAACUUCAAACUAUGGAACAGUGUUCUAUUUGCCAGAGUUAAAUAUGUUACAGCAGGGGUCUCCAAACUUGUUUAUACUUGUUGAUUUUAUUUUAUGUUACUUGAUUAUAUGUUUA